Small nucleolar RNA from Phragmites australis (common reed), 138 nucleotides. RefSeq annotates it as small nucleolar RNA Z247. The record is from RefSeq and is a predicted model, not a curated record. Lineage: Eukaryota; Viridiplantae; Streptophyta; Magnoliopsida; Poales; Poaceae. The transcript has a single exon.
CCGUUAUAUGAAGAGGAGAUGAUCUCGGCAUCCUCAUUGGCAUCGAUAUUGAUUACAAUCCAAUCGUAUUCGCUAUUUUUCCACGAGUGGAACCAGUGUCAGUCAUCGAGUUGUGUGCUCAACUUCUGAGUUUCAAAA